GACGAACGCUGGCGGCGUGCCUAACACAUGCAAGUCGAACGAAGUGGCGAACGGGUGAGUAACGUGUAAUCAACCUGCCCUUCAGAGGGGGACAACAGUUGGAAACGACUGCUAAUACCGCAUACUGAAGGAGGGGAUUGCGUCUGAUUAGCUAGUUGGAGGGGUAACGUCCCACCAAGGCGAUGAUCAGUAGCCGGGCUGGGAGGGUGGACGGCCCCAUUGGGACUGAGAAACGGCCCAGGCUCCUUAGGGAGGCAGCAGUGGGGAAUCUUCCGCCAUGGACGAAAGUCUGGCGGCACAACGCCGCGUGGGUGAUGACGGCCUUCGGGUUGUAAAACUCUGUUAAUCAGGACGCGGUACCGGAAUAGAAAGCCACGGCUAACUACGUGCCAGCAGCCGCGGUAAUAC
RNAcentral lists this ribosomal RNA (408 nucleotides) under uncultured bacterium. RNAcentral's name for it is "partial 16S ribosomal RNA". It matches the Rfam family "Bacterial small subunit ribosomal RNA", at positions 28 to 526 of the family's 1533-position model. The record is from RNAcentral.